RNAcentral lists this transfer RNA (71 nucleotides) under Loxodonta africana (African savanna elephant). It matches the Rfam family "tRNA". From Rfam's summary of the family: Transfer RNA (tRNA) molecules are approximately 80 nucleotides in length. The record is from Rfam by way of RNAcentral. Lineage: Eukaryota; Metazoa; Chordata; Mammalia; Proboscidea; Elephantidae.
GCACUGGUGCUUCAGUGGUAGAAUUCUCACCCUCCAUGUGGGAGACCUGGGUUUGAUUCCUGGCCAAUGUA